UUAAAUUGAAGAGUUUGAUCAUGGCUCAGAUUGAACGCUGGCGGCAGGCCUAACACAUGCAAGUCGAACGGUAACAGGAAGAAGCUUGCUUCUUUGCUGACGAGUGGCGGACGGGUGAGUAAUGUCUGGGAAACUGCCUGAUGGAGGGGGAUAACUACUGGAAACGGUAGCUAAUACCGCAUAACGUCGCAAGACCAAAGAGGGGGACCUUCGGGCCUCUUGCCAUCGGAUGUGCCCAGAUGGGAUUAGCUUGUUGGUGGGGUAACGGCUCACCAAGGCGACGAUCCCUAGCUGGUCUGAGAGGAUGACCAGCCACACUGGAACUGAGACACGGUCCAGACUCCUACGGGAGGCAGCAGUGGGGAAUAUUGCACAAUGGGCGCAAGCCUGAUGCAGCCAUGCCGCGUGUAUGAAGAAGGCCUUCGGGUUGUAAAGUACUUUCAGCGGGGAGGAAGGGAGUAAAGUUAAUACCUUUGCUCAUUGACGUUACCCGCAGAAGAAGCACCGGCUAACUCCGUGCCAGCAGCCGCGGUAAUACGGAGGGUGCAAGCGUUAAUCGGAAUUACUGGGCGUAAAGCGCACGCAGGCGGUUUGUUAAGUCAGAUGUGAAAUCCCCGGGCUCAACCUGGGAACUGCAUCUGAUACUGGCAAGCUUGAGUCUCGUAGAGGGGGGUAGAAUUCCAGGUGUAGCGGUGAAAUGCGUAGAGAUCUGGAGGAAUACCGGUGGCGAAGGCGGCCCCCUGGACGAAGACUGACGCUCAGGUGCGAAAGCGUGGGGAGCAAACAGGAUUAGAUACCCUGGUAGUCCACGCCGUAAACGAUGUCGACUUGGAGGUUGUGCCCUUGAGGCGUGGCUUCCGGAGCUAACGCGUUAAGUCGACCGCCUGGGGAGUACGGCCGCAAGGUUAAAACUCAAAUGAAUUGACGGGGGCCCGCACAAGCGGUGGAGCAUGUGGUUUAAUUCGAUGCAACGCGAAGAACCUUACCUGGUCUUGACAUCCACAGAACUUUCCAGAGAUGGAUUGGUGCCUUCGGGAACUGUGAGACAGGUGCUGCAUGGCUGUCGUCAGCUCGUGUUGUGAAAUGUUGGGUUAAGUCCCGCAACGAGCGCAACCCUUAUCCUUUGUUGCCAGCGGUCCGGCCGGGAACUCAAAGGAGACUGCCAGUGAUAAACUGGAGGAAGGUGGGGAUGACGUCAAGUCAUCAUGGCCCUUACGACCAGGGCUACACACGUGCUACAAUGGCGCAUACAAAGAGAAGCGACCUCGCGAGAGCAAGCGGACCUCAUAAAGUGCGUCGUAGUCCGGAUUGGAGUCUGCAACUCGACUCCAUGAAGUCGGAAUCGCUAGUAAUCGUGGAUCAGAAUGCCACGGUGAAUACGUUCCCGGGCCUUGUACACACCGCCCGUCACACCAUGGGAGUGGGUUGCAAAAGAAGUAGGUAGCUUAACCUUCGGGAGGGCGCUUACCACUUUGUGAUUCAUGACUGGGGUGAAGUCGUAACAAGGUAACCGUAGGGGAACCUGCGGUUGGAUCACCUCCUU
RNAcentral lists this ribosomal RNA (1543 nucleotides) under Escherichia coli. Its description in RNAcentral is "bacterial SSU rRNA". It matches the Rfam family "Bacterial small subunit ribosomal RNA". The record is from RNAcentral. Lineage: Bacteria; Pseudomonadati; Pseudomonadota; Gammaproteobacteria; Enterobacterales; Enterobacteriaceae.